AAUCAGUGAUGCUGACUCAAAGACCUCAAACACAGCCCCACCCACACCUGACUCUGGGUCCGUGGGAAUGGGAGGGAAAUCUGACGUUAAAACAUGGCCACCAGCAGCUCAGGCUCUAUGCCCUUAGGGAAAAUUGAACGGGCAAUUGCAGCAGGUGUGCGGGCUGCACUUCACGCUGCUGUACCGCAGACUUCGUCUACACCACUAACGGUUUCCACACUACCAGCUAACACACAUGGGCUCCCAGGCACAGCCACUGCUAGCCUAACCACAUCGCUGAGAUCAGUGCCUCUGCCAUCCAUCCCUGGACGUCUCAUGGCUCGAUCCAGACACAUAAACAGAAGACAUGUCAAAACAUACACUAAGGAAGUUGUGUGUUUGCCUUUUUCACUGGAGUCAUCUGUCUUUGUUAUUCCCAGAGGGGAAAGUCGGACCAGAUUAGCUCAAGCUGGCCUUAUUGGAAAAAUUUCUUUUCCUCUGAAUGGACUGAAGACCAACUAAGAAAUGAAAUAACAGCUAUUUUCAGACAUGCAUUCGGCUUAUCAGAACGCCAGUUAUUACCAUUUCGGUUUUUGAGCACCAUCAAGGGGUGUAAAAAACUGAUGAAACCACAGGUCACCUCCAAUUUUCCCUGGGGUGGUAAAGAAGUUGCCUCCAUGUGUUCCAACUAUUGUAUGUACAUCAUGGCAGAAAUGCAAGUUCCAUCACAGAAUUUGCUUGUGGAACUCUCUGAUGACAGUGAUUUUGAAAUCCAAGCACCACAACUAAGGAGAGCAAGACAGAGAAAUGCCUCAUCCAUAUCCCAGAGGGAACAAUGUGAAAGGCAGCAGGGUGAAGAAGCCAGUCCUCCAGAUGACAUUGGGAUGGAAUUACAUGAACAAGGAACAAAUGAAGCUGCUACUCACUUCACAGAUUUUAUUCCUAUUUAUGUUGAUGAAGAAGAAGCCAUUGCGGAAGCCAUCAGACAAAGUCUUUCAGAAGAGGCAGGAUCUUCAUCCUUGCAUGAUUCAAGAUUUGCAAGAACCCUGUCCAAAGAAGAAAUAACUGGAAUUGUAAAAGCACACAGUGAGAGGGUUGUCACAGCAGCGUACAAGCCGAUCUACAUCAGUCGCAGGAAUUUGUGGUCAACUGCCCUCUGUUAGUUCAGCAGAAAGAGAGCACCGACACACUGUACAUGACCUUUGCCAGCGAUGAAGACACCACAGAAGAAGCAGAAGACCUUGGAGGGCCCAGGAGGGAAUUAUUUCGUCUACUUGUAAAAGCUAUCUACAAAGACAGUGGAGCUUUUGAAGAGUCUUCAAAUGGCUUCAUUCCAAGAAUGAACAUUUCUCAUGUGCAAAAUGGACUGUAUCGCACUAUUGGACAGAUGAUGGCUACUAUCAUGGUCCAGGGUGGUGAACCUCCAGCUCUUCUUUCCCCUCUUGUGGUGAAUUACCUCCUGACAGGGCACUUUCAGGUUAAUGUGACUCCAGAAGAUGUAGCUGACAUGGAGCUGAGAGAAGUCCUCAAGAAGGUCUUGACGUGCACUCCCCUGAGCUUCACCCAGCUCCUGCUGAUUCUACCGGACUUCUUUACUGUUCAUGCUGACACGCUACAAGUUUCCGCCACAUUUCCCGGUUGGUUUUUUGUUUUUACCUGCUCUUAGUAUUUAAGUUGUUGGUUCCUGUCGCCACUUCGUGUGCUGUGCCCUGCUCCGGUGUCCUCUGCCGUAGUAAGCUACUUACCGGCUACGCAGCGGAGCGAGUCUACUCUGUUUGCGUGACGGGCAUCGCUGACCCUUUUGCCUGCUGCACGUCCUGCCAGCCCUGAGCUUGCUUGAUCUCCUUCCACUCAGCAUAACUUGUUUCUUGUUUAAUAAACUGCUUUCUAUAGUUUCUUUCCCUUCUAGUUUCUGUCUUCUUUUGGGGUCCACACUACAAUAAGUUGUACUGUAGCACAGAGCCUGCUUUUAUCUACAGUAUUUGUUUAAAAGGGAUAAAUUAGAUUUGGAUGCUAUAUCUUGCAUCAAUGUGGUUUGACUUAAUAAGAUGCUUUGGACAAAAGGUAAUGUAAUGAAUUUUAAUCUUUGCCUCACCUUCACCAGGCUGCUGGGUGUGGACAGGGUGGUGAUCUACAAGACCAGCUGUGGUCCAGAGACUGCCUGCUGCAGAGAUACACACAGGAGGGCUUUGUGGAGAUGGUUCCCUGACCCAUUGACCAGCACCCAAUGUCUCAAAAAUUUUUCCUAUCACAAUCACAAUUUUGUCUCCAG
Long non-coding RNA from Monopterus albus (swamp eel), 2251 nucleotides. RefSeq lists it as uncharacterized. The record is from RefSeq and is a predicted model, not a curated record. NCBI's taxonomy places the organism in Eukaryota, Metazoa, Chordata, Actinopteri, Synbranchiformes, Synbranchidae. The transcript is spliced from 9 exons.